This 403-nucleotide ribosomal RNA is filed under the name uncultured bacterium. Its description in RNAcentral is "partial 16S ribosomal RNA". It matches the Rfam family "Bacterial small subunit ribosomal RNA", at positions 28 to 527 of the family's 1533-position model. The record is from RNAcentral.
GACGAACGCUGGCGGCGUGCCUAAUACAUGCAAGUCGAACGCAGUGGGGACGGGUGAGUAACACGUGGGUAACCUCCCAUCAGAGGGGAUAACACUUGGAAACAGGUGCUAAACCGAUACUCAUGGCUCGCCCCUCGUUGCAUUAGCUAGUUGGUGAGGUAACGGCUCACCAAGGCCUAGAUGCAUAGCCGGACUGAGAGGGUGAUCGGCCAGACUGGGACUGAGACACGGCCCAGACUCGUACGGGAGGCAGAAGUAGGGAAUCUUCGGCAAUGGACGAAAGUCUGACCGAGAAACGCCGCGUGAGUGAAGAAGGUUUUAGGAGCGUAAAACACUGUUGUUAGAGAAGCGGUAUCUAAAGAGAAAGCCACGGCUAACUACGUGCCAGCAGCCGCGGUAAUUG